Molecule: long non-coding RNA, 1263 nt
Organism: Bufo gargarizans (Asiatic toad)
Lineage: Eukaryota; Metazoa; Chordata; Amphibia; Anura; Bufonidae
Exons: 3
Source: RefSeq, a predicted model, not a curated record
GUGUCGGCAUCUAAAGACAGGAUGCAAGACCUUGAAAACUCAUUGAGAACCAAUAUGACAUCAGAUGAAUGGGUGGCCUUUUUUGCAAAAGCAACAGUCUUUUCUGUCUGUCUAAGAUGCGUAAUGAAGUGGAGGAUACAAAACACGCAAAACGGUAUCGGGACAAACAGGAUUGCAAGAGCGGACGAAUAUAGAUAGGAGGAGGCAAUGAAUAAUGCAAAGACAUAUCCAAAGAGACCUAUAAGAGGUUCCAGGAGAGAUCCAAGGGGUCAGCAGGAGGAAAAAGAGCCGUCUACCAACAAAAGUGUUGAUGCUCCGUUUUUUAGGGGACAGGUGUACCCCCACAGAAAUCGCACAAGGAGGGCAGGAUGUCGUCGCCAUCGAUCCCGGAAGAAACAAGCCACAACAUCCACAGAGACAAAUGACUUCCAAAAUGCAGAAAAAGAAAUAAGUUCACAUAACCCGGUGUUACUCAUUGUGAGUUGUGGACACCUACAGGAGAGAUCACUUAUCCAGAUUUUAUCCUUUUCAGUUACCUUAUAAUAUUAAUCGUUACCAUUAUUACAGAGAGACUUUAAUGUGUGUGAAUUGUGAUUGAGCAAGCCAUGGAUGUAUUAACUACUAUCACUAUUGGGUGAAGCACGAUUGCACUUUGGAUGAAGCACUAAGAAAUUUAAGAUCAUCUACACUUCAGGGACAGGGACACCAUCCUUAAAAAAAAAAAGCAAGAGAUCAUCCGGAGCUACUUAUCAAUGGAAGCAAAAUUGCGAUUUAUCCAGACUUCUCGGCAGAGGUCCAACGGAAGAGAGUCAAGUUCAUGAAUGUGAAAAGACGCCUUCGGAACCUACAAAUCCCGUACUCCAUGAUGUAUCCGGCCAAGCUCUGCAUAGUGGCGCAUGGAGAAGUUUGCUUCUUUGACACCCCCCUGGAGGCCUGGAGGCGGCGCAGUGGAUUGACAUUAAUGAGCCUUUGUUGAAGAACUCUGUGGGAUGAGCGUCCUGCCUAUUCUAGUGUUGGAGCACGUGAGAUAUGUCAGAUGUGAUUAGGGACAUGUUUGAUAUGUUCUGUAUAUUAAUGCUUUGUGUAAUGGUCGAUCCUUAUUACUAUCUAUUGUUAUUAUGACCAUCUGUUUAUACACUGAGUUUUAUGUGUAGGGUUCUGAGAUAGUUUUUUGUCACAUAUUGUACUUCAUGACACUGGUAGAGUUAUUACUUUGCAUUUCCCAUAUGUCUACUUCAUGUUUGGGAAUGAUAUUUUAUUUUG